AUGCGGUAUGACGGUACCCUUUCGAAUAAGAGGUUGCUAACUCUGUGCCAGCAGCAGCGGUAAUACAGAGACCUCGAGCGUUAUCCGGAUUUACUGGGCGUAAAGCGUCUGUAGGGGGUUUGUUAAGUUCCAAGUAAAAUCUUAAGGCUCAACUUUAAGUUCGCUUGGAAAACUAAUAAACUGGAGUCCAGCAGAGGUGCAUGGAACUUGCGGUGUAGGAGUGAAAUCCGUUGAUAUCGCAAGGAACACCAAAGGCGAAGGCAUUGCACUGGGCUGGUACUGACCCUGAGAGACGAAAGCGUGGGGAGCAAAACGGAUUAGAUACCCGUGUAGUCCACGCCGUAAACGAUGGAUACUAGAUGUUCGGGGAUUCGACCCCCUGGGUGUCACAGCUAACGCGUUAAGUAUCCCGCCUGGGAAGUACGGCCGCAAGGCUAAAACUCAAAGGAAUAGACGGGGAUCCGCACAAGCGGUGGAGCGUCUGGUUUAAUUUGAUAGUAAGCAAUGGACCUCACCAAGGUUUGACAUCCUAUGACAACCCUGGAAACAGGGCUUCCUUCGGGCAUAGUGACAGGUGCUGCAUGGUCGUCGUCAGUUCGUGCCGUGAGGUGUUCCGUUAAGUCGGGAAACGAACGAAACCCUCGUCGCAUGUUACAAAUUUCAUGCGAGACUGCCCGGGUCAACCGGGAGGAAGGCGGGGAUGACGUCAGAUCAGCAUGGCCCUUAUACCUUGGGCUACACAGGCGCUACAAUGGCCGGUACAAAGGGUUGCAAAACCGCGAGGUGAAGCUAAUCCCAUAAAGCCGGUCCAAGUUCGGAUUGGAGGCUGCAACUCGCCUCCAUGAAGUUGGAAUCGCUAGUAAUCGUGGAUCAGCCAUACCACGGUGAAUACGUUCCCGGAUCUUGUACUCACCGCCCG
Molecule: ribosomal RNA, 919 nt
Filed under: uncultured organism
Description: bacterial SSU rRNA
Rfam family: Bacterial small subunit ribosomal RNA
Source: RNAcentral